Molecule: ribosomal RNA, 110 nt
Filed under: Bacteroides xylanisolvens SD CC 2a
Lineage: Bacteria; Pseudomonadati; Bacteroidota; Bacteroidia; Bacteroidales; Bacteroidaceae
Also listed under: 1 other name
Source: RNAcentral
UCAGGUGGUUAUAGCACGAGGGUUCCACCUCUUCCCAUUCCGAACAGAGAAGUUAAGCCUCGUCACGCCGAUGGUACUGCGUAACAGUGGGAGAGUAGGUAGCCGCCGUU